UGUUUUGUGAAGCCAUGUCAGUGUGGUCACGUUAUGUCAGUUUUUGGUCUAAAACGUCAGCGCAGCCAGACGUUUCACUGGCGCGAGAGAAUCCCAGUAUUCGAGGGACUACCUCAUGUUUUUUGUCUCUGUUGAUACGGCAAAGUUCUUGUCGAAGGCAGGCGUCGUUUAUGUUGGAGACUGGAUCAAUAGUGAUUAGUGAGUUAGUGAGUCAACUUCGACGUCCGACGAGCUAUCAUGUGCAUGAAGUAGUGGACAGAGAUUCGUCGCAGUUGCUUCGAGAAAGACAGAAGCCAUUUGCACAUAGGAGGAACAGCACUGCUCCCAGUACUUAUCCUUAUCUUGUGCAGAUGGCUGUAAGACAUGCAGGAAGAGUGUCAGUAAGGUUCUGGAAGUUACCAACAGGGAUGUGGAGCCAUGUCAACUCCGAGGCCAGCUGCACUAGGUUUCUUGGUUAAGGAUACAUGGUGUGAACAUGCUGAUCAAGAUUUCUCACAGACUGUCUACCUGUGAAUACCACGUGCGUCAGAGCUCUACAGUCCCCACUUGCUGCCAGCCAGCAGUGGCUCCGUGGCGGCACUCCACUCCCUCGCAUUUCGUCGAAGACAUCAGCUGCCGCUAAUCACUUUGGAGAGUAUAAAAUGUUUGCUAUUGUUGAAUGAUGCUCCACAAAAAAGUCUAUGAUUUGUAUUUCAUGCUCAAUAGCAUCAAAAGCAGACAUGCACAUACAUCUCAAAAUUGUUAUAGUUUGUGAUCCCAUCUGACUACCUUACUACAUUGUUUAGUUUUAUCCUUAGUGAUUUAUAUCUAUUUUUUCCGUUUUAUGAGGGAUUCA
Schistocerca piceifrons (Central American locust) is the source of this 835-nucleotide RNA transcript. RefSeq lists it as uncharacterized. NCBI's taxonomy places the organism in Eukaryota, Metazoa, Arthropoda, Insecta, Orthoptera, Acrididae. The record is from RefSeq and is a predicted model, not a curated record. The transcript is spliced from 4 exons.